GCGAGCUUCUCGCAAAGCUCUCGUUACCAAAAUUUUCAGUCAGUCGAUCAUGAUCUUUGUUCAUAGAAAGUAAAUCGUGCUUUUGUCGUCAUAUCUAUUGUUCUUGCCGUUAGAUCUAUCAUUCUUGUCGGACUCUGUAGUAAGGCUCGUGUCAUAAUUUAUGCUUGUCAAUCUCACUCGUCCCGUGAUAAUAUUUCAUUUUAAUCGUUGUUGCGAGAGACUUUACGGCGAAGCAUUCCGAAUCGUGGUGAAUUUCGGGUACAUGCCCGCGUUCAAGCCCUGAAUCCUACUCGAUUUAAAGUAACAUGUGACGUUCUCUAUUGUCACAUAGUGAUUCAAGUAUUUUCGAACUCGACAAGAAUAUUUGCGAACGUUCUUAAAAGAGCGAAUUCUCGGUUACAAGUGCGCGUAUCUCAGAUUGACGAAGCGAUAUGUAAUCAUUCGUAAAGUUCAAUCAAUGUGUAAGAGCUUGCGAACAUUCUCUCAACACUUUGCGGACAUCCUCUCAUUACGUGAUCGCUUAAUUCGUACGAACCGCAUAAAUGAAUGCAAGCUGACUGGCUGACUGGUGGACUAUUCUACCUUCUCUUAGGUGUACGCAAACAUCGAACUCUAUAUUUUGUACAUCUCAAACCUUUGACUCAUUAAAGUGUGAUCUGUCUCUAAAUUUCGUGAUUCUAUCACCCAUCGGAUCCUCAAUAGAGGGUCAUUCCCGUGAACAAUCAAUUCCGCAUAGGAGUUGAUAUUGAUAUAUUUAAUAUUUGCAAACCGAUUCCGUUGCAACCAUUAAAAGUGACAUCUACUAUUAUUCUUAUUGGAUAUAUUCCUGAAAACGCAUCAAG
Pogonomyrmex barbatus (red harvester ant) is the source of this 842-nucleotide long non-coding RNA. The record is from RefSeq and is a predicted model, not a curated record. NCBI's taxonomy places the organism in Eukaryota, Metazoa, Arthropoda, Insecta, Hymenoptera, Formicidae.